UUGUGUGUGACAUGCUGGCGUCGGGAUUAUGUUUCCAGUUAGGUUGUCCCAAGUAUCUGCAGACUGGGUGGCCCAUGCGGGGUUUCUCAGAAAUAAGAAUAUGGCAAUUGGACCUGAAGGAAAAUGAUGUCUCUACAAUUAAUCAUCAUAGGGUUUGGAAGGCCCAAGAAGAAAACUAGGUUUUGGGGUACGUGAGCAGAGCGUGCAAGACCGUUGAGUAGGUACACACAUGGCAGUGUGC
Molecule: long non-coding RNA, 241 nt
Filed under: Callithrix jacchus (white-tufted-ear marmoset)
Lineage: Eukaryota; Metazoa; Chordata; Mammalia; Primates; Cebidae
Description: lncRNA (ENSCJAG00000073194.1)
Source: RNAcentral